Molecule: RNA transcript, 8834 nt
Organism: Leptopilina heterotoma
Lineage: Eukaryota; Metazoa; Arthropoda; Insecta; Hymenoptera; Figitidae
Gene: Rim
Gene name: regulating synaptic membrane exocytosis protein 2
Exons: 24
Source: RefSeq, a predicted model, not a curated record
GCUUACAAGGCCGAGACCGUGAUGGCGGACCUUCCAGAUAUAUCUUAUCUCACUCCGGAGGAAAGGCGCAUCAUUGAGGAUGUCAUCAUGCGGCAAAAGCAAGAGGAAGAGCGCCAAAAUGAGAUUAUGAGACGGAAACAAGAUGAGGUGCAAAACCUGGAGGAGACAAUAAGAGCACGUUCGGAAAAACAUAAGAAAGCGGGAAUAGAAUUAGAUGCAACGUGUCAUAUAUGUUUAAAAACAAAGUUUGCCGAUGGUGUUGGGCACAUCUGCAAUUACUGCAGCAUCCGGUGCUGCGCACGCUGCGGUGGGAAGGUCUCUCUUCGUUCGAAUAAGGUGAUAUGGGUCUGCAUUCUCUGUCGAAAAAAACAGGAAUUGUUGUCAAAAACCGGACAAUGGAUGACAAAGACAAAUCUUGGUCCGGCGGACAACGCGAUGCUGAGGCGAAUGCAAGAGGAUAUGCAGGGAGGAGUUUCUCCAGGACAUCAGGAACAAAUUCAGGAUAAAAGACCAAAAUUAGAAAGAGCUCAUAGUGCCGCGGAAAAGGAAAAUCUGCCAUUACUCCAACGGAGUGCAAGUGUACUCAGGAAGCAGUAUUCGCAACAGGAAACGGUAUCAGGGAGGCGUAUGUCUACGAGUGACAGUGGGGUGGAAAUGGCAGUUUCACCUCAUUCGAGAAGCUUACCGACUCCACACGUAGUCAGUUCUUUUCAAUCGCAACAGACACCAAGGCAUCCUGGUGCUUUUCCUGAGGACGAUCCUAGUCUAUAUCGUGGCGAACUCGACGGACUCAUGAGGGAAUAUCAGAGACAACAAAAUAUUUAUCAAAUGGAACAAAAUUCGGAUGUGGCGAUGGCCUACGGUCAUCCGGUGGAACAGAGUUCUCGACCUCCGAUUCAUCCAACACAUUUAGUUCAUUCGCAACAAGGUGCACAUCCCUCUCAACCAUGUCCACCAUCAGCUGGUGUUCAAGGUCCUCUUCAGCAACAAAGAAGCUUCAGUAGCAGUGAGGAGGAGAGAAGUACCCCCGAGUGUGCUAGCGACGAGCCGGACGAGUCUGAAAAGGGAAAGGAAUACUAUGAUCUGUCCGGAAGUCCGACUACGAUGACCAGUGGAUCGUUUAGAACUUCUUCACACAAUGGACAUCAUAGUACUGGUCCAAUAACCAUUGAAUAUAAUGGUCAUCAUCCACCGCGAGAACCGCGAAAAGAAGAGAACACCCUCGUUCGAAGAAGCUUCCGAAGAAGCGACGAGUGGUGCGCCGAUAGUAGGAGGUUCACUGAGCGGAGGGGGAAAAAAACUGUGAGAUUUCAUGGAGGGACCAAUGUCGGUGACUCUCAGGAAGAAUGGUCAUGGGAAGUCGAUCGGCAAGGUAGUCAAGACAGUGCGACAAAAGACUCUGGAAUAGAUACGUCGAGCACCUUUACGAGCAGUGAAGACAGCAACAGGGGUGACCUGCCCAAGCACUCCCUAUCAUGGCAAGCAAGCUCCGACGGGCAAAAGAUGAUCGGUCACAUGAUUCUCCUCAAGUCGUCAGGCGCCGGAAGUAGUAGUAGUAUAUUGGGUCUCAAAGUGGUUGGAGGAAAACUCCUCGAAGAUGGAUCUAUGGGCGCCUUGAUUGAAAAAGUGAAGAAAGGAAGUACUGCCGACAUCGAGGGCCAACUUAGACCUGGUGACGAAGUUAUCGAGUGGAAUGGAAGGUGCCUGCAGGGCAAGAGUUUUCAGGAGGUUUACGAUAUUAUUGCCGCAUCGAGGCAGGAACCUCAGGUAGAACUGGUUGUCUCAAGGAACUUGCUUUCGUCAACAACUUUACCCGGGAGGUCAACGACUGCAUCAACGACCACCCCUGUUGCCUCAAGGCGUGCUGUUGCUCAGUCACAGUGGAGACAGAAACACGAAUGCACAGGCGUUACUCAACAACCUCAUCACAAAGAGCUUUACGAUACGAGACGUGAGAAACCUUCGGUUUUGGUAACGUCACCGGGUUCACCGGAUGUUCAUACGCAAGGAAGAUCGAGACACAUAAGACAGCCAACGGGAAAUGUUAAUUUCGGAGGACGCAUUCAGGUGAAAUUGAAUUUCGAUCCUAGUGCCCUUCAAUUGAUUGUCACCUUAGUGUGCGCGACUGGUCUCCCUCCACGAAGCAAUGGCCAAGCAAGAAGUCCAUAUGCCAAAAUAUUUUUACUUCCUGAUCGAAGUGAAAAGUCCAAAAAGCGAACGAAAGCCUUGGCAAAUACGAAUGACCCAAGGUGGGACCAAACUUUCGUUUAUAAUGGAAUCAGAUGGUCGGAGUUAAGACAACGUGCUCUAGAAAUUACAGUUUGGGAUUAUGGUAGAUAUGUUGCAAACGAUUUCAUUGGCGAAGCCGUUAUAGCAUUAGCUUCUUCUUCACUCACCGAUGAAUUAGAGUGGCAUUAUUUGACUGCCCAUGAAGAACAUCGCCAUGCAAGUCAUUAUCAAGAUUUUGUCGACGAUGUGACGACGCCAGGCGAUUGCCAUCUUAGUCCACCGUUAACAACCUCAAGACUUAGUGAUUCAGAUACUUCCGAGUGCGAUAUCACUGACUGCGAUGUUUCUAGGGAACAAAGAAGAACGGCUGACGGUGCCAGUAUAAGUAGUAUCGGCAGCUCUUCUAGGUUUCAUAAUAUGCCGUCAAAUUAUAAGCGCCACUAUUCUAGUCCGCCACCUGAAAAGGAAUUCUGUGUGGACGGUGAGCAUCGAAGUCGAAGGGAUAUGUCACCGCAAGGUUGUAAAAGACCAGCGCUUAUGAGCACUAGAGACCAUUCCGCUUCCAUUUCCAGUUAUCAACACUAUCGUAAGGAUGAUUCACAUCGUGCCACAUUAAGCCACAGGUCCCAUAGCGCAGCGCUGAUGGAUUCUCAUCAUUAUCGAAGAAGGUCGCAAAGUCCUACAGGUCAUCGUUCUCUUUCACCUCCUGAUCAUAGAUCUGUUCCCUAUUCACACAGUUACAUGGCAGCUAGAUUUACAUCAAGAUCAGCGACAGCAACUCCAACUGGAUCUCCGAAAAAGCGUCAAUUGCCUCAGAUACCUCAAAAUUUGCAAAUAGCCCUGAAGGAUCGAGGAGUCGGAGAUUUCACCGAUAGAGCGAGAUUCAUUAAACAUCGCAGUAGACCAAUGCACUCAUAUCGAAAUUCCAGUUUCGAGAAACAUAUUACUGGUCUCUCAGACUCAGAUCUACCGUCAAUGAGUUACGAUCCACACUCCCUUUCACACACUCAUCUCCACAGAUUACACAGAUCACGAAGAGAUCGUCUAAGUCCCGAUAAAGAUGUUCUUGCCGAUCUUGGCGAUUCUGAUAUGGAGAGUAUAGCCUCCGUAACAAGUAGUGCCUUCAGCACACAAUCAGAGCGACCACGUGGUUCGAGGGGAUUAAUACCGACAGUUAAAAACGUUUUAAUACCCGGUGUCAUAUCCCCAGUACCCCCACCCCCUAGGCGCAAUAGGCGCAAGCACAGACUUAGGGUACCCUGCAGCGAAUGUCAUUGCCCAAACAACUAUCCCAUCAAACCAAAAAACAACCCUAGCAAGCAUCACCUUCCCUCGCACCCCCUUAUACGGAGCAAAUCCGCAGUUGUUCGCUCGCUAUAUAGAAAAAUGCGAACGCCCUUCACAAGAUCGCAGACUGUCGAUGAGAAUAUGUUGAGAUAUUACAGUCCAGCGACAAGCGAAUACAGUGUCUGCGAGGGCCUCAUUCUCAAGCCAGAAAGCCUUACCGGUACAAGUGCAACAAAACGCAUUCCGGAAAUCUACAUCGAAGACUGCCUCCAGGUCAAUUUUAACGACCGUCUUGUCGAUAAAUUUCGCUCACGUUAUUUACCACCCUAUGGUUAUGAUUUUGGUUCACAUCGACGAUCCCGCAGUUGGCAGGAUCGUUCCACAAGAAGUCGAAAGACUCCAAGAUAUUCAAGUUUCCUCGAGAGUUUAAAUCCCACAGAUUUCGCUUACAAACGCCUCGAUCUUCGAAACAAUGAAAUCAGAAAUAAAACUCUCGCCAGACAACGAAGAUCUUUUUUACUCUCAAGAGCCAAAAGUUUUGACAAUGAAGUCCUAAAGAACUCCCGACUAAUCAUCAAUAAUGAUGCCACCACGAAUUUUAAUAGAAAACUAGUAUCCGUGUCGAGAAGGGCAAAAAGUUUCGAUUACGACGUUCUAUCCUCAAAUAUAUUUAGUGACGAUAGUCUACGAACUGCCAGGGAGAAGGUGAAAAAAAAUCUCUCCCUCAACGAUUCUUCCUACGGUGAUAGAAUUCCUGCUCUGAAAGAUCAGAGCAAAUCCUAUUAUGAUUCAAAUGGCGACAAUAAAGCUCGUAUGAAACAAUUGGCCAUUGAACAAAUAGCCUUCGAUCAAUUCACUGCUAAUCAAGAACAACAAAGACUGCUUUAUGGUUAUGACUCCGAACUGAGCGCCGGCGAAACGGAAAUUUAUCUCCCCAUUAGUGAUACAACACGUUUUUCUACAAAUAAAUCCGAUGAUUUUGCAACUAAACGAAAACACGAGUCAAUUUAUCAUGAUAUUGAUAGUAAGCGAGAGAAAUCGCGAAGUUUAGCCGAUGAUCUCUACAGUCCUCUCGAGUCAAACGAUCACAUAUAUUGUAGUAUAGACGAUGUUAUGUUACCCUACUGUGAUUACGAUUACGAGCACACCUCAUAUCCCUACCACGAUCAAUUCUUUGAUUACAAUCGAAAAAAUCGUCGCCGACGUACCAAAAGUACAGACUCAUAUCUAGACGACUACUCCUACGAUUGGGAGGAGGAGGAGCCUGAUUAUUUUUCUCAAGAAAGAACUGAUAUUUACAAUCCAGAGGCCUAUUAUCGUUAUCCAGUUUACGACCGGAGAAAACCAAGUGAUAAAACUGUGCGAAAACACAGAAAUACUUCUCGCCUUGAGACUGAUUCUUAUAAUAGUUAUUAUCCACAAUCAAUAAAUUUUGAUAACGUAGAAUACGAAAAUAUCCCCCGACUUCCAAGAAGAAGAAACGAUAAUAUUAGUUAUUACGAUGAUUAUCCAAUUCGCGAAGACUUAGUGACGAUCGCUCGUGACAAUCAGCCUAGGCAACAGACCCAAAAAAUGCGAAAUCGCGCCAGAUCGACUCCAAUUCUCUACUUCGAUCAAGAUCUCAUGGACGAUGAUAGACGCACCCAAAAAUUGUACAAAAGAAAACGUAACACCAGUUGUCCGGAGGCCUUCCGCACAUUCGACAGUCCCCCAACGAACGACGACAGUCCAUCCGAUCUUCUCUUCUACGCCGACGAGAAUUUCGGCUCAAUGGACACGGUCAUCGAUCGUAACUACCAAAGAACGUUAAACAGAAGCAAAAUUCCACUUUAUGAUAAAUACGCCGAAGAUGAAUAUUACGAUAAUCAAAAGAGAAAAACAAGUUGUCCGGAGUGUCUCGAAAUGCUCCAGGCCGAGAGAACUGAGCGAGAAUAUCAGAGGGAGAGAAUGUCGGCCGAGAUAAGACAGCAGCACCGGUAUCGCAGACGCAACAGCAGUUGUCCCGAGGCACGUGAAUUGGAAUUCGUCGAUAAGAAGGGUAGUAAGAGAAAUGUCGCGAUAAGCGACACCCUCGAGUACUACGAGUACUCGAUGGAGAGCGAGAGUCAGUGUAGCGAGAACUGCGGCUUUGGCCCGUCUGAUCCACGUAGGCCCCGUAACCGAGCACCCCGCCCCGGUAACGCUAAUUCAAAUCUCUUUGAUUCCCAAACCGCUACCUCCGACACUGCUAAAAACCCACGGGCCACCGUCGACCAUCACGAAACUCCUACUACUACUACUACUACAACUACUACUACUACAUCACGUUACCAUCACACGAAACCGCAACUCGUCGCCAUGAACACGCCAACCGGCGGCGAAUCCUAUGAACUACUACUACUACCUUCCGAAUCAUCGCGUCAACAACGCUCGCGGAAACAAUCGACGACGCACGACUACCACGACGAUCACCCUCACGACGAUGGAAAUAAUCGACGAUCGUCCUCUAUGCCCGAAAGCAGUGACUAUACCAGCCAGAGUGGGUCCUAUGAAAAAUCGUCCAGACAUCAAACGCCUGAGAUCGAUCACAAUGGCCACAGCAAGCGGGGUCAAUUUACGAGGAGCUUUAGUAAUACCGACGCACCAACGGACGAGAAAGUUGAUGGCAGCCUGAGUGACACGGCGGUUGGACUUCACGUUGAAGAAUCGUCGAGGAGAAAUCGAAAGAAUUCACCAGGGAGUAAAAGUGGCAGCGCAAGUAGUGGUAGCGGCAGUGCCGUUCAGUAUCAAAGCAGUGGAAUGGGAAAGAAGAGCAACAGCACGAGUCAAUUGUCUGCGACAGAAUGUGGAGUUGUCAUCGGGACUACGUUGGAUCCACGAUCGUCUGGCAUUAUGAAUCGCAAGAGGAACAGCACUCCGAGCAGUAUUCAACGUUCUCAGGAGGUGGUACCAACCUAUCAACGCAUCGGUAAACCAGGAUCUAUGGUCAGCGAUACGGCUGGAAGUUUGAACUCAAUCUCAAGUUCUGAAGGAAGCUCUUGGUCUCCCAGUUUGCGUAUGGCAGGAGAAGGUGGACAGCUAAGUGACUUUAUCGAGGGAAUUGGCCCUGGACAAAUUGUGGGACGACAGGUUCUUGGUGCACCAUCGCUUGGUGAAAUUCAACUUUCUCUAAGUCACACCAAAGGCUACUUGGAAGUUGAAGUUAUUCGAGCUCGAGAUUUACAAGCAAAACAGGGCAGCAAAGUUGUACCAGCACCUUACGUGAAAGUCUACCUCGUUAAUGGAAAGAAGUGUAUAGCCAAAGCAAAAACAACAACAGUGAGAAAAACAUUAGAACCUUUGUACCAACAACAUUUGCAAUUUAAGGAAAAUUUUCAAGGCUGCAUUUUACAAGUGACUGUAUGGGGAGACUAUGGUCGAUUGGAGGGGCGAAAAGUGUUCAUGGGAAUUGCUCAGAUCUUGCUGGAUGAUCUGAACCUGAAUGAUAUGGUGAUCGGAUGGUAUAAGCUGUUCGGCACUACAUCCCUGGUCAGUGGACCACCUUCCCUUGGUUUGUCUCGUCGAUCUUCAGCAGCCUCUCUCGAUUCCUUAAAAUACUAAACUCAAAAAAGAAAAAAAAAAGAAUUCUAACACGAGCUCAUCUUUGAACUCUAAAAUUUUCUCUCUAUACCAUUAGUUUUUGCCUUCUAUAUCUCAAAAGCAUGCUUUGAGUUAUUUACAGUUUCUCAAAAAAGAAAAAGAAAAGAAAAAAAAUAACCCAGAACAAUUUUACUAAGAAAAAGAAAACAAAAUCACAAAAUACAAUCAUUCCUAUACAAAUAAAUUAGAAUUUUCGACAACAAAUGUUGCCAAUUUUUAAUAUAGUCAUUAAUACUCUUCCAGAUUGACAAAAAAAAUUCAUUUCAAAAGAUACUAAAAAUAAUUGUCAAUCACCUAAUGUUCGAUGCAAAUUUAAAUAUAUAUAUACAUAAAACUAAUUUGAAAUUUACUCUUAAAAAAAAGAUAGAAAAAAGUGUAGACAAAGCGUUUAUGUCUUUCUGUCAUGUAAGUCUAUAUAUUUUAUAUAUUUUACAAUGCUAUAAUAAUAUCUAAAUUUUCAAACAAAAACAAUUAAUAGAUUUUUAAAAGAGAAUUUAAAAAAAAAUUUCAAUUACUGAAAGAAAAAAAAUAUAAAUAUAUAUAUAUAUAAAUGCGAAAUCUGUUGGAAAAUUAUCGAUAAAAUAAAAGAGAAACACAGAAAGAAAGAGAGAGAGAGAGGACUUGCUAAAAGUGUUUGACGAAAAAGAAUGGAAGUCAAUGUUGGGGUAGUGACUAGAGUUUAAAAAUGGACGGGGGAGAAUGAAAGAGCGCACGAGAGAAUUGUUUUUCUAGAAACACCACUAGCACAUCACAAAUCACGUACAGCAUAUCGGAUGAGCUACGUAUGUUGACUAUAGCUGUAGACGUAGCAGAUUUGUUCCCGGAGCGCAAGUUUUUAGUAAACUGAAGGGAAUCAAACAGUGAAAACAGUAUCGUGAAUUCAAGUGUGAUGAGUGAACAAAAAAAACACAAUAUAAAAGGAACGAUUCUCGAAAUAGUCGUCCAUUGUGAUCGCUUCUUUGGUGUAAAAAUCUAUAAACAAAUUUCAUUUUUUUUUUUGGCUAUUGUCAAACAAUAUGUCCUGGCGUCGAGCUGAACUGAGAAAAAAAAAACAAAUUGUGACCCUCACGAGAGCCACAAAGUCUGUUUAUGUAAAGUAUAUAAAUAUAAAUAAUAAAAAGAAAAUUAAUAUCGAUUAUAGGUACAAUUAAAAUCCGCGAAAAUCAAUUCGAAUUAUGUAUAUUGUAUAGGUAAACUCGAGUGUUAAAAAAAUAUUUGUAUAUAUAAUUUGUGACGUCGUGCAAAGACUUUUAAAAACUAGCAAACUUGUAUGCAUGUAUUAAUUGGGAGCCGAAAAAAAUAUCUCGAAAUAAAAAGAAAAUCUUCAAUAUAUUCCAUUGAAGACGUCUUAGUCGCAGUAUGUGUAACUACUGUAAAUAAUAAUGUGAUAAACUAAUUUCAAUGCGUCGCAUCGCGAGCUUAUUUAUUUUAGCCGAACGUGGCUUUUAAGCUACAUAAUAAUAUUAUACAUCUUGUCAACGAAUUCACAAUUAUUUCUUUUUUUCCGUUUUCUACAUUUUAUAAUUUAUUAUCUACUUUGAAAACAAUUAUGAAAACUAUUUAUUGUCUUCUUUCAAAACUAUUUAUUGUCUACUUUGAAAACUAUAUUUAUUAUCUCAAUGUAGAACUAUUUUGAUUUUAUUUUUCUUUAAAACAGAAAUUGCUCUCACCAAAUAAAUAAAUUUAUUAAAAAUUUUCAA